RNAcentral lists this ribosomal RNA (213 nucleotides) under uncultured bacterium. RNAcentral's name for it is "partial 16S ribosomal RNA". It matches the Rfam family "Bacterial small subunit ribosomal RNA", at positions 122 to 334 of the family's 1533-position model. The record is from RNAcentral.
UAACCUGCCUUGGAGUGGGGAAUAACACAGUGAAAAUUGUGCUAAUACCGCAUAAUGCAUUUGGAUCGCAUGGUUCUGAAUGCCAAAGAUUUAUCGCUCUGAGAUGGACUCGCGUCUGAUUAGCUAGUUGGCGGGGCAACGGCCCACCAAGGCGACGAUCAGUAGCCGGACUGAGAGGUUGGCCGGCCACAUUGGGACUGAGACACGGCCCAG